AGACAUGUAAGCUUGAGUUCGAGUCCAAAGAAAAAAAUACAUGAAAUUUGUCUUACAUGAAUGGCUAAACAUGACUUUAUUCACAAUAUCAAACAUGCAAAUGCUAUGAAAUUGUAGAGUAAACUAGUUCUUCACUGCAAAGUAAAACUGAAAAAAUAGAGAUCCAACCAGUCGACGACGCCAUAAAACAGAAAGCUCAAACGAUGAUAAGCAUAAUCAAGUAUCAACCACCUAUCAUUGAGGCAAAGAAUGAAUAAGAAUUUAAACAAGAAACUUGAUUAAGGAAAUCAUAACUACAUGGACAGAGGCAGAUUCAAGAUUUUUGUUGGGAAGUGUUCACUUAUAAUAUAUAAAAUACUGACGAUAGAUUUAUCAAUAUUAUCCAUGAAAAUAGUGUUUAAAAGAAAAUUUUGAAUGUUUAUGGAAAAUUUUCUUUUAAAAUUUCUUAUUUUCUAAUUUUUAGGAGUGUCCAAAAAAUGAUUUUGAGGGUAUGCAACACAAAAUUUUUCUUUAAAUUUUUUUGAUUUUCAAUGUACACCCCACAAUGCCAUGUAAAUCCACCACUAGACAUGGAAAAAAGCCAUAUUUACCUGUUUAGCUAACAAGUUUCUCCUGAAAUUUUCACUUCCU
RNAcentral lists this long non-coding RNA (630 nucleotides) under Durio zibethinus. RNAcentral describes it as "long non-coding RNA (DZIB_LNC001979)". Lineage: Eukaryota; Viridiplantae; Streptophyta; Magnoliopsida; Malvales; Malvaceae. The record is from RNAcentral.